AAUCAACGCUGGCGGCGUGCCUCAGACAUGCAAGUCGAACGCGAAAGUUCCCUUCGGGGAGCUAGUAGAGUGGCGCACGGGUGAGUAACACGUAGGUAAUCUACCUUUGGAUUGGGAAUAACACCGAGAAAUCGGUGCUAAUACCGAAUAAUGCAGCGGCACCUAAUGGUGACAGUUGUUAAAGCGGGGGAUCGAAAGACCUCGCGUCUGAAGAGGAGCCUGCGGCAGAUUAGCUAGUUGGUAAGGUAACGGCUUACCAAGGCGAUGAUCUGUAGCCGGCCUGAGAGGGCGGUCGGCCACACUGACACUGACAUACGGGUCAGACUCCUACGGGAGGCAGCAGUCGGGAAUUUUGGGCAAUGGGCGAAAGCCUGACCCAGCAACGCCGCGUGAAGGAUGAAAUCCCUCGGGAUGUAAACUUCGCAAGAACGGGAAGAAUAAGCCGGUGUUAACACCACCGGUGAUGACGGUACUGUUUGUAAGCUCCGGCUAACUCCGUGCCAGCAGCCGCGGUAAUACGGGGGGAGCAAGCGUUGUUCGGAUUUACUGGGCGUAAAGGGCGCGUAGGCGGCCACCGCAAGUCGAUUGUGAAA
Molecule: ribosomal RNA, 593 nt
Filed under: uncultured Acidobacteriota bacterium
Lineage: Bacteria; Pseudomonadati; Acidobacteriota
Description: bacterial SSU rRNA
Rfam family: Bacterial small subunit ribosomal RNA
Source: RNAcentral